Molecule: ribosomal RNA, 497 nt
Filed under: uncultured bacterium
Lineage: Bacteria
Description: partial 16S ribosomal RNA
Rfam family: Bacterial small subunit ribosomal RNA
Source: RNAcentral
GAUGAACGCUGGCGGCGUGCCUAAUACAUGCAAGUCGAGCGAACAGACGAGGAGCUUGCUCCUCUGACGUUAGCGGCGGACGGGUGAGUAACACGUGGAUAACCUACCUAUAAGACUGGGAUAACUUCGGGAAACCGGAGCUAAUACCGGAUAAUAUAUUGAACCGCAUGGUUCAAUAGUGAAAGACGGUUUUGCUGUCACUUAUAGAUGGAUCCGCGCCGCAUUAGCUAGUUGGUAAGGUAACGGCUUACCAAGGCGACGAUGCGUAGCCGACCUGAGAGGGUGAUCGGCCACACUGGAACUGAGACACGGUCCAGACUCCUACGGGAGGCAGCAGUAGGGAAUCUUCCGCAAUGGGCGAAAGCCUGACGGAGCAACGCCGCGCGAGUGAUGAAGGUCUUCGGAUCGUAAAACUCUGUUAUUAGGGAAGAACAAAUGUGUAAGUAACUAUGCACGUCUUGACGGUACCUAAUCAGAAAGCCACGGCUAACUACGUG